This 664-nucleotide unclassified non-coding RNA is filed under the name Pilatoporus ibericus. RNAcentral describes it as "sequence contains 18S rRNA gene, ITS1, 5.8S rRNA gene, ITS2, 28S rRNA gene". The stretch from base 261 to 414 matches the Rfam family "5.8S ribosomal RNA". Lineage: Eukaryota; Fungi; Basidiomycota; Agaricomycetes; Polyporales; Fomitopsidaceae. The record is from RNAcentral.
GUAACAAGGUUUCCGUAGGUGAACCUGCGGAAGGAUCAUUAAUGAAUUUUGAAAGGGGUUGUAGCUGGCCGUCUCUUUGGGGCGGCAUGUGCACGCCCUGAUCACUAUCCAUCUCACACACCUGUGCACACACUGUAGGUUGGCUUGUGAUCGGAGCUACGGUCUUCAUUGACUUUGCUCUGGUUGGAGGCCCUCCUAUGUAUCAUCACAAACUACUUCAGUUUAAAGAAUGUACUCUUGCGUCUAACGCAUUUAAAUACAACUUUCAGCAACGGAUCUCUUGGCUCUCGCAUCGAUGAAGAACGCAGCGAAAUGCGAUAAGUAAUGUGAAUUGCAGAAUUCAGUGAAUCAUCGAAUCUUUGAACGCACCUUGCGCUCCUUGGUAUUCCGAGGAGCAUGCCUGUUUGAGUGUCAUGGAAUUCUCAACUCUAUUUGCUUUUGUGAAUAGAGCUUGGAUUUGGAGGUUUAUUGCUGGUACUUGUGAUCGGCUCCUCUUGAAUGCAUUAGCUCGAACCUUUGCGGAUCAGCUAUCGGUGUGAUAAUUGUCUACGCCGUUGCAGUGAAGCAUAUCAAUGGGCUCGGCUUCCAAUCGUCCUUUACUGGACAAUGACUUUGACCUUUGACCUCAAAUCAGGUAGGAUUACCCGCUGAACUUAAGCAUAUC